This 603-nucleotide ribosomal RNA is filed under the name uncultured Vibrio sp. RNAcentral describes it as "bacterial SSU rRNA". It matches the Rfam family "Bacterial small subunit ribosomal RNA", at positions 8 to 590 of the family's 1533-position model. Lineage: Bacteria; Pseudomonadati; Pseudomonadota; Gammaproteobacteria; Vibrionales; Vibrionaceae. The record is from RNAcentral.
AGAGUUUGAUCCUGGCUCAGAUUGAACGCUGGCGGCAGGCCUAACACAUGCAAGUCGAGCGGAAACGACACUAACAAUCCUUCGGGUGCGUUAAUGGGCGUCGAGCGGCGGACGGGUGAGUAAUGCCUAGGAAAUUGCCUUGAUGUGGGGGAUAACCAUUGGAAACGAUGGCUAAUACCGCAUAAUGCCUACGGGCCAAAGAGGGGGACCUUCGGGCCUCUCGCGUCAAGAUAUGCCUAGGUGGGAUUAGCUAGUUGGUGAGGUAAUGGCUCACCAAGGCGACGAUCCCUAGCUGGUCUGAGAGGAUGAUCAGCCACACUGGAACUGAGACACGGUCCAGACUCCUACGGGAGGCAGCAGUGGGGAAUAUUGCACAAUGGGCGAAAGCCUGAUGCAGCCAUGCCGCGUGUAUGAAGAAGGCCUUCGGGUUGUAAAGUACUUUCAGUUGUGAGGAAGGGGGUAGUGUUAAUAGCGCUAUCUCUUGACGUUAGCAACAGAAGAAGCACCGGCUAACUCCGUGCCAGCAGCCGCGGUAAUACGGAGGGUGCGAGCGUUAAUCGGAAUUACUGGGCGUAAAGCGCAUGCAGGUGGUUCAUUAAGUCA